Molecule: long non-coding RNA, 833 nt
Organism: Toxotes jaculatrix (banded archerfish)
Lineage: Eukaryota; Metazoa; Chordata; Actinopteri; Toxotidae
Exons: 4
Source: RefSeq, a predicted model, not a curated record
CUAUCCCCGUGUAUUUCAAAUUUAAUGUCUUUUUCCUCAUCAACGUACGGAAAAAAAGGAGGGAAAGGACAAGAAAAAAAAAAAAACCAAAAAACACAGGGUGCCCCAGCAGGGGUAGGCAGACCUUGUUACAACAGAAAAUCUUUGUAAAACUUGUCGACCAGUAAGAUUUUUUACAAGUAGCUUUUCUUUGUUUUCAAGCUCUGCCUAUCCCUGCUGGGUAGACAGUUGCCGGCCAAGUCUGCCGGACAGAAGCAGGCAACAACUUCCAGAAAUGCUUGGAAACGGAGAAGAGGAGUCUGCAGCCAGCUCCACCGAGCUACAGCUCCUCUCAUCUCGAAGAAAUCCACAGAACAUCUAUCAAGGGCAGAACUUCCACCUUAUAUCGUUCACUGAGUUUAAUAAAGGCUCCUAUGUCCAUCGUUUCAGUCUUCAACCCAGGGUAGCCAUCCGCAGAAGGGAAGAAGACUCACAGCAGGAGGAUGAACCCACUGAUCUGGAAAACAACAAUUCUUUUAAUUUUGUGUUUAGAUUAAAAACUGAUUUUUUAUCACAGGACAACAAAAAUAAUCACAAAACUCCCCGUGUAACACCUAAUCACUGGAAAUAUUUCCAAGAGUCUUACCGUGAUGAAUUCAAAGGAAAGACAAAUCAGCAUUUAUUUGCUGUUUUGUUUUUAGGGGAUAGUAUUAAACAAAUCUUUUCUGUUAGUCGGCCAGAAUUUCCAAUUAAGAAAGGCAAGAAUUCUGCCACCAAAUUUGCUAUACACACAGAAGAGAUUUUAGGCAAAAAAGUUGAUGAGUUUCUGGAAAAUUAUUCCAAGCACAUUGAAC